UACAGAGGUCUCAAGCGUUGUUCGGAUUCAUUGGGCGUAAAGGGCGCGUAGGCGGCCAUCUAAGUCAGACGUGAAAUCCCCCGGCUUAACCUGGGAACUGCGUCUGAUACUGGACGGCUUGAGUAUGGGAGAGGGAUGUAGAAUUCCAGGUGUAGCGGUGAAAUGCGUAGAGAUGGGGGAGAACACGCGUGGCGAAGGCGGCCAGCUAGACCAGUUCUGACACUGAGGCGCGACAGCGUGGGGAGCAAACAGG
RNAcentral lists this ribosomal RNA (253 nucleotides) under uncultured bacterium. RNAcentral's name for it is "partial 16S ribosomal RNA". It matches the Rfam family "Bacterial small subunit ribosomal RNA", at positions 524 to 776 of the family's 1533-position model. The record is from RNAcentral.